GAUGAACGCUGGCGGCGUGCCUAAUACAUGCAAGUCGAGCGAACAGACGAGGAGCUUGCUCCUCUGACGUUAGCGGCGGACGGGUGAGUAACACGUGGAUAACCUACCUAUAAGACUGGGAUCACUUCGGGAAACCGGAGCUAAUACCGGAUAAUAUAUUGAACCGCAUGGUUCAAUAGUGAAAGACGGUUUUGCUGUCACUUAUAGAUGGAUCCGCGCCGCAUUAGCUAGUUGGUAAGGUAACGGCUUACCAAGGCAACGAUGCGUAGCCGACCUGAGAGAGUGAUCGGCCACACUGGAACGGGGACACGGUCCAGACUCCUACGGGAGGCAGCAGUAGGGAAUCUUCCGCAAAGGGCGAAAGCCUGACGGAGCAACGCCGCGUGAGUGAUGAAGGUCUUCGGAUCGUAAAACUCUGUUAUUAGGGAAGAACAAAUGUGUAAGUAACUAUGCACGGCUUGACGGUACCUAAUCAGAAAGCCACGGCUAACUACGUG
This 497-nucleotide ribosomal RNA is filed under the name uncultured bacterium. RNAcentral's name for it is "partial 16S ribosomal RNA". It matches the Rfam family "Bacterial small subunit ribosomal RNA", at positions 28 to 507 of the family's 1533-position model. The record is from RNAcentral.